This 520-nucleotide ribosomal RNA is filed under the name uncultured Scutellospora. Its description in RNAcentral is "SSU rRNA". It matches the Rfam family "Eukaryotic small subunit ribosomal RNA", at positions 569 to 1093 of the family's 1831-position model. Lineage: Eukaryota; Fungi; Glomeromycota; Glomeromycetes; Diversisporales; Gigasporaceae. The record is from RNAcentral.
AGCAGCCGCGGUAAUUCCAGCUCCAAUAGCGUAUAUUAAAGUUGUUGCAGUUAAAAAGCUCGUAGUUGAAUUUCGGGGUUCUACCGUUGGUCGGGCUUUGUCUGUACUGGCGUGUAGAAUUUCUACCUUCUGGGGAACUAUCAUGUUAUUAAUUUAACGUGGUGGGAAACCAGGACCUUUACCUUGAAAAAAUUAGAGUGUUCAAAGCAGGCUUAUGUCUGAAUACAUUAGCAUGGAAUAAUAAAAUAGGACGGUGGUCCUGUUUUGUUGGUUUCUGAAUCACCGUAAUGAUUAAUAGGGAUAGUUGGGGGCAUUAGUAUUCAAUUGUCAGAGGUGAAAUUCUUGGAUUUAUUGAAGACUAACUUCUGCGAAAGCAUUUGCCAAGGAUGUUUUCAUUAAUCAAGAACGAAAGUUAGGGGAUCGAAGACGAUCAGAUACCGUCGUAGUCUUAACCAUAAACUAUGCCGACUAGGGAUCGGGACGAUGUUAAUUUUUCUUGUACUCGUUCGGCGCCUUACGG